RNAcentral lists this ribosomal RNA (206 nucleotides) under uncultured bacterium. Its description in RNAcentral is "partial 16S ribosomal RNA". It matches the Rfam family "Bacterial small subunit ribosomal RNA", at positions 568 to 774 of the family's 1533-position model. The record is from RNAcentral.
CGCGUAGGUGGAUAUUUAAGUCGGAUGUGAAAUCCCCGGGCUUAACCUGGGAAUUGCAUUCGAUACUGGAUAUCUUGAGUAUGGUAGAGGAAAGCGGAAUUCCCGGUGUAGCGGUGAAAUGCGUAGAUAUCGGGAAGAACAUCAGGGCGAAGGCGGCUUUCUGGACCAAUACUGACACUGAGGCGCGAGAGCGUGGGGAGCAAACA